UACGUAGGGUGCAAGCGUUGUCCGGAAUUAUUGGGCGUAAAGAGCUCGUAGGCGGCCUGUCGCGUCGGCUGUGAAAACCCGGGGCUCAACCCCGGGCCUGCAGUCGAUACGGGCAGACUAGAGUGCGGUAGGGGAGACUGGAAUUCCUGGUGUAGCGGUGAAAUGCGCAGAUAUCAGGAGGAACACCGGUGGCGAAGGCGGGUCUCUGGGCCGUAACUGACGCUGAGGAGCGAAAGCGUGGGGAGCGAACAGG
This 253-nucleotide ribosomal RNA is filed under the name uncultured bacterium. RNAcentral describes it as "partial 16S ribosomal RNA". It matches the Rfam family "Bacterial small subunit ribosomal RNA", at positions 524 to 776 of the family's 1533-position model. The record is from RNAcentral.